AUGGCACCGUCUCCAUGUUUGAGGUGCUUGGGCCAGCGCGUGUGCGGGCAUGUGGCUCUUCUAUCGUCGGCUGCGUGGGUUGGAGAGGUUUUGGAUGCUCCGGAUGAGAAUCUACCCGACUUUGUCGGUGCCGACGACGCGUCGCCCAUGGGCGUCGUUCUCCUCGCGGGAGGGUCAUUGUGGAGCUCUCUCCCCCCUCCUCCAUCCCUAGUCAUGUCCUUCGUGCGGAAGCUCAAGACUCCACAUGAGUCGGGUAACGGCGUCGCUUCAACGUCGCUCCUCCCUUGGGGGCAUCACCUUGAAGGUCAUGGUCUUCUACGCGCUUCCCCAUGGGCUGGACAAGCACAACACCGCGGUCAGUAG
RNAcentral lists this ribosomal RNA (363 nucleotides) under Triticum aestivum (bread wheat). RNAcentral describes it as "partial small subunit ribosomal RNA". The record is from RNAcentral. Lineage: Eukaryota; Viridiplantae; Streptophyta; Magnoliopsida; Poales; Poaceae.